RNAcentral lists this ribosomal RNA (806 nucleotides) under uncultured bacterium. Its description in RNAcentral is "bacterial SSU rRNA". It matches the Rfam family "Bacterial small subunit ribosomal RNA", at positions 8 to 796 of the family's 1533-position model. The record is from RNAcentral.
AGAGUUUGAUCAUGGCUCAGGACGAACGCUGGCGGCAUGCCUAAUACAUGCAAGUCGAGCGAACAGACGAAGUGCUUGCACUUCUGACGUUAGCGGCGAACGGGUGAGUAACACGUAAGGAAUCUACCUAUAAGCGGGGGAUAACAUUCGGAAACGGGUGCUAAUACCGCAUAAUAUCUUCUUCCGCAUGGAAGAAGACUGAAAGACGGCUCUGCUGUCACUUAUAGAUGACCUUGCGGUGCAUUAGUUAGUUGGUGGGGUAAUGGCCUACCAAGACGAUGAUGCAUAGCCGACCUGAGAGUGUGAUCGGCCACAUUGGGACUGAGACACGGCCCAAACUCCUACGGGAGGCAGCAGUAGGGAAUCUUCCGCAAUGGGCGAAAGCCUGACGGAGCAAUGCCGCGUGAGUGAAGAAGGCCUUCGGGUCGUAAAACUCUGUUAUAAGAGAAGAACAAAUUGUAGAGUGACUGCUACAGUCUUGACGGUAUCUUAUCAGAAAGCCACGGCUAACUACGUGCCAGCAGCCGCGGUAAUACGUAGGUGGCAAGCGUUGUCCGGAUUUAUUGGGCGUAAAGGGAGCGCAGGUGGUUUCUUAAGUCUGAUGUGAAAGCCCACGGCUUAACCGUGGAGGGUCAUUGGAAACUGGGAAACUUGAGUACAGAAGAGGAAUGUGGAACUCCAUGUGUAGCGGUGGAAUGCGUAGAUAUAUGGAAGAACACCAGUGGCGAAGGCGACAUUCUGGUCUGUUACUGACACUGAGGCUCGAAAGCGUGGGGAGCAAACAGGAUUAGAUACCCUGGUAGUCC